GUGCAAAAGUGACCAAAUUUCCAAGCCCUCUGGAUUUGUCAUCUUUUGGCAUUUCCAUAAGUUUUCUGACCCCUAGAGGAAUUGCUGGUGUCUCUUUCUUGACGCUGGCAAACUCCGCUGUCCUGAGCAGAGCUUCCGCAGUUCUGGACGGGACCAGCCAGGCAGCCCUCUCCUCUCCGAGGCACCUGAGACUUCUUCCCCUUUCCAUGGAGAUGUACAGUUUGGAAGGUCAGCCAGGGGUUGAUGUGACGACUCCAGCCAAGGGCUCUGCUCAGUUUCCACCAAGCAGCUCAGAAACAAAGCAGCCAUGACGAGUAUUGCCAAGACUCUGUGCUGGGAGCCAGGAGCAGAUGAAUUCCCGGUGUCAGCAUUCUGUUUGCCUAAACGAAAUUUACUCAGAUGGAUCUUUACUAGGAUGUGGAGCAAUUGGAACCCUCACACAUUGCUGAUGGGAAUGGAAAACAAUUCAGCCUCUUUGGAAAUCAGCCUGGCAGUUCCUCAAAGAAGCUGAACAGAGAGUUACCAUAUGACCCAACAAUUCCACUUCUAGGUGUGUACCUAUGAGAAUUGAAAACAUAUGUUCACAAAACAACGUGUAUACUAAUGUUUAUAGCAGUAUUAUUCAGCAUAGCCCCCAAGUGGAAACACAACUACCCAUCAACUGAUGAAUGGAUAAAUAAAAUGUGAUAUAUGCA
Molecule: non-coding RNA, 695 nt
Organism: Odocoileus virginianus texanus
Lineage: Eukaryota; Metazoa; Chordata; Mammalia; Artiodactyla; Cervidae
Source: RefSeq, a predicted model, not a curated record